GAAUAGUCGAUGCAGCUAACACAGCAAACAUCAUAGGAGGUUAGAGAAGCCUCCUCUCUUGCACAACCUCAGGGCUUCAGUCAUCCUCCUAGUGAUCAGAUUCCCAAGAAAGUCCACAGAAAAUAAUAUCUUCCCCUUCCUUUGACUCUCUCAUACAGACUGUAGCUAGAAGCCGUUCAGUCUUUGCCCUUUGCUGGCCUAUUUGCUUUCUCCACAGUUUUGCUACCAUAAUUUUCUGUAUAUUUGGUUAACACUUGUGUCAGAAUGAUUAUCUAUAAUGAACACGCCAGUACUUUACUAGGACUUUGAUCCAUCAAUGAUGUAGAAAUAUACGAAGGAGAAAGUAAAGACCUUCCAUAAUCCCCUCCAACCCAAGAAAACCAGUAUUCAGAGUAUUUUCCACUGCAGAUGAACAGCGUACCCAGGGAAAGACGGGCACACAUUGGAUUCAACGAGAUAUGCCAUCAUUGGAGCUGAUCUCCGAGAUAUUCCUGAACUGGAAGAGAAACUAAAGAAAUGUAACAUGAAUACACAGUGAGACUUUUUUAUUAGCCUCUUACAUUUGUGAUUUCCUGCUAAUAUGAAAUAAGGCUGGUUGGAAGUACAGGGUGAUACUCGUACCAUUUUGUUUCCCUGUAAUCUUUAUCAUUGUCAUUGCUAUUAAGCUUAGUUUUCUGAACUUUUUUAGAAGCAAGCUUCCUUGAGUCUGCUUUCCUAUGAGAAUCACCUGUGUUGCUUUUGUAAAAUAUGCCCUAAUAUUAAUACCUAAUGUUAUAGAGUUGGAGGGAAGAUGGUUAUAUGCACAGAAACAUAUAAUUGUGACAUUAAAGAAAGGAUUGGCAUCCUGAAUACAUAAAAAAUAGCUUUUUUUCUUUUUUUUUAAAGCCCCAUAGACAAAUGGGCAAAAGAGAGAUGACAGGCAGCUCAAAGAAGAAACUGGCUAGCAUAUGAAAAUGCUGUUGGACUUCAGCAGUCAUCAGAUGAAAUAUUUUACUCCCACCAAGUUGGCAAAAAUGUAAAAGUCUGACAUAAUAUUAAGGAUUGGCAGGGAUUUAGGGGGAAGGGCAUGGUCACGUACACUGGGUGGAAGUGGCUUUGGCACAGUCCUUGCCAGGAGGAAUCUGGAAUUAUCUAGUAGAAUUGUAACUGUCUGUACCAUGGGAAAUUGCAGGUGACUGUUGGGCAUGUCCCCCCAAAGGUCUGAACGUAUGUACAAGGAGGAUGUUCGUUGCAGCCUCUGCUUUUAGU
RNAcentral lists this long non-coding RNA (1248 nucleotides) under Sus scrofa (pig). RNAcentral describes it as "lncRNA (ENSSSCG00030037445.1)". The record is from RNAcentral. Lineage: Eukaryota; Metazoa; Chordata; Mammalia; Artiodactyla; Suidae.